CGGGUUUUGGUGACCGCACUCUGAAGUACACUGAAGCUAUUCGCUUACCCGUGGGGAAAGUGUCUGUGAGAGCCAUGGCUGUCAGCACCGAUGGCCGUCAGAGUGCAGUCGUCACCAAGGUUUUCAUAGUGGCGCCGUCUCCUUCAGAUGAGCAGGAUCUGACUCCAGGCCAUGAGGAUGACAAUUUGAUGAAUGGCAGACCAAUCAAUGGCAAGGAUGAUUCAUUAAUGAAUUUGAAGGGGAGUGAAAAUGGAGCUGGCGUUUCCUCUAUUAAAAGUUUAGGUAA
Long non-coding RNA from Sinocyclocheilus grahami, 286 nucleotides. RefSeq lists it as uncharacterized. The transcript has 3 exons. Lineage: Eukaryota; Metazoa; Chordata; Actinopteri; Cypriniformes; Cyprinidae. The record is from RefSeq and is a predicted model, not a curated record.